Long non-coding RNA from Gorilla gorilla gorilla (western lowland gorilla), 768 nucleotides. RefSeq lists it as uncharacterized. The transcript is spliced from 6 exons. NCBI's taxonomy places the organism in Eukaryota, Metazoa, Chordata, Mammalia, Primates, Hominidae. The record is from RefSeq and is a predicted model, not a curated record.
AUCACUUUAGUCUAACAGCUUCAAAUUUAAUUAACUGCUGAUUGUUCCUGAAGAUAUGCUAAGAGAUCAAGAUUCCAAAAAAAUCCAAAGAACGGGGUUUACAGAAGAAGACUGAGUAUUGUCUGACCUCAAGCUUACGGGAUGCCAGACCAGGAUCAUGGCAUCUAUGUUGCUGCAAAGGACAUGCUUUCAUCCUAUUUAUGGCAGCACAGUAUUCCACGGUGACAUGUAACACAUCUUCAAACGGAGUCUUGCUCUGUUGCCCAGGCUGGAGUGCAGUGGUGCGAUCUCAGCUGACUACAAGCUGUGCCUCCCGGGUUCACACAAUUCUCCUGCCUCAGCCUCCCCAGCAGAUGGGACUACAGACGCCCACCAUCAUGCCCAGGAAACACAAGAGACCUAAGUGUUAAACAUCACCAUGGGAAUGCAAUCAGCAUGAUUCAGACUAUGAAAAACUACAUAACAACGCCAGUCUCAGAAUAAAGGAAAAAUAGCAACUUUACAGUGAAGAAAGGUGAAAGAUACCACCUCAAUGAAAUGAUCAAGCCCCUGCACUUGGAUCAGCUGGCACCACCCAGAUCGAUAAACUGGCUCAUCUGAUCUGUGGGCCCCCCACCCAGUGCAAGAGGAUAGCUUCAACUCUGUAUGAUUUUAUCUCUGACCCCACCAAUUGGCACUCCAGACUCACUGUCCCCCACCCACCAAAUUUCCCUUAAAAACCCUGAUCCCAAAUGCUUGGAGAGAUUGAUUUGAAUAAUAAUAAACUCA